UACGUAGGGUGCAAGCGUUGUCCGGAAUUAUUGGGCGUAAAGAGCUCGUAGGCGGCUUGUCACGUCUGCUGUGAAAACUCGGGGCUCAACCCCGAGCCUGCAGUGGAUACGGGCUAGCUAGAGUGCGGUAGGGGAGACUGGAAUUCCUGGUGUAGCGGUGGAAUGCGCAGAUAUCAGGAGGAACACCGAUGGCGAAGGCAGAUCUCUGGGCCGUAACUGACGCUGAGGAGCGAAAGCAUGGGGAGCGAACAGG
This 253-nucleotide ribosomal RNA is filed under the name uncultured bacterium. Its description in RNAcentral is "partial 16S ribosomal RNA". It matches the Rfam family "Bacterial small subunit ribosomal RNA", at positions 524 to 776 of the family's 1533-position model. The record is from RNAcentral.